This is a long non-coding RNA of Brassica rapa (field mustard), 953 nucleotides long. RefSeq lists it as uncharacterized. The record is from RefSeq and is a predicted model, not a curated record. Lineage: Eukaryota; Viridiplantae; Streptophyta; Magnoliopsida; Brassicales; Brassicaceae.
UUCUGCAAGAAGUUACAAAAUCUAUGUCAGUAAGAAUAAUGGAAAUUAAUAAUGACAUGAGAGUAAUAAAAAAAACAGAUUAGAGUCAGUAAAAAAAGAAAAAUACAAAUUGCAGUUAAGAGAUUCAAAAGUACAGAGCAAUAAUUGGGUACAACAACUGUGUUUGAAAGUUUACAAAAAACAACAACUGUGUUUGAAAAGGACUAAGUACCAACCAAAAAUGACUUAUGGUUAAAAGUGAAAUGUGAGAUUUCCCAAGAAAAGCAGAACGAAAGAAAGGGAGAAGACAAGCACGGCUGGUUCUGAGCAUAGACCAUAGACCAGUGAAAAUUAGCCUAUAACUCCCAAAAUUUGUGUCAAAAUUUAUGUCAGUGAAGCAUUAAUGAGUUCUCAGCAUUAAUCUAUAGUUUCUAAAAAUUGAUGAAAAUUACAAACAUAAAUCUCCAAAUUUGUAAGAAUUUUUUUUUAUUAUAUCAAAAUGUCAAGACCAUAUAAGAUUGGUUUUCAGAAUAGUAUAAAGUAAAACUCAAUAACUUGUAUCAAAACCUUGAAAGUCAACCUCUUUUUAUAAAUGAUGAGAACAAUAUCUCAGAAUUUCUAAUAUAGAUGAAAGAUCCCAAACGUAAUAACAAGAUCUAAGGUAAUAUUUUGUUUAUAAAGAAAAUUAAAGAAAAAAAGGAACACCAUGGAGUCAACAAGAUUCUGAUAUCUAUAUAUCAAAAAGUUUCUAACUCACAACACAUAAAGAAUAUAAGAUAAUCAGUUCAAUCAUUAGGAAACCAUACUACUAUAAAAGUUAUCAGAGUUUUUUUUUUUGAACUGAUAAAAGUUAUCAGCUUGAUGGUGAAAGAACAUAACUCAAUUUCAGACACAACAGAAGAGCAUAAGAUAUUAAGACAAUUACAGAAACAUUUAAAGUAAUAAAUUCAGGAAAGAAACCAUGCAUUCUGAUU